GACGAACCGUGCGAACGUUGUUCGGAAUCACUGGGCUUAAAGGGCGCGUAGGCGGGUGUGCAAGUCUGUGGUGAAAGCCUCCAGCUUAACUGGAGAAGUGCCAUGGAUACUGCACAUCUUGAGGAGGGUAGGGGCAUCUGGAACGGUCGGUGGAGCGGUGAAAUGCGUUGAUAUCGUCUGGAACGCCAAAGGUGAAAACAGACUGCUGGGAGUGUGCUGACGCUGAGACACGAAAGCCAGGGGAGCAAACGGG
This 253-nucleotide ribosomal RNA is filed under the name uncultured bacterium. Its description in RNAcentral is "partial 16S ribosomal RNA". It matches the Rfam family "Bacterial small subunit ribosomal RNA", at positions 524 to 776 of the family's 1533-position model. The record is from RNAcentral.